This is a long non-coding RNA of Manis pentadactyla (Chinese pangolin), 1657 nucleotides long. RefSeq lists it as uncharacterized. The transcript is spliced from 3 exons. The record is from RefSeq and is a predicted model, not a curated record. Lineage: Eukaryota; Metazoa; Chordata; Mammalia; Pholidota; Manidae.
GCCUCCUCCCAUCCAGCCAGGGCCUCUCUGCAGCCUUCCUCUCCCGGGUGCCGCCAGGGGUCGCUGUGAGGCGCCCCGUCCCAAUGUGACCAAGGAGCUGAGGGGGCCAGAGCAGAGAGAAUGGUACUUGAGGUGGGCAGCAAUUUAUGGCCCUUGGAAGGCAAGGGCAGGUGGUGUGGGCGCCCUGGACAGGUCCCUGUCCCUUCUCCCUGGGCCAAGAUGAGGCCCUGGGCUCCCACUAAACGUGACUCCAUCUAUACACGGUGCCUGAUCUCCAGAGCUCAAAUUCAAGGCCCAUCACACCCACCUGUCCAGCUCAUCUCUGACCAUGUCCAUGCCACAAGCAGUCCCUGGCAGCAGGUCCAGCAAGGUAGGGGAAGGCCAAUGUCUGUUGGAGGCCAUUGAGAGGACCUGAUUACCGACUGACCCUCGAGCUGGACCUGGGCAGCUGGAGGCUCUUCACCUCCUUCACUGUCCUUGGAAUGUGUGUUUGGCUGCUUGCCUUCCCUGCACUAGAAGCUGCCCAAGGACACAGCCUUGGAGAGUCACCUGUUGUUGAGACCAUUGGACAGUAUACAUGACUGAACCCAGGCUCUCCUGGCCUUACAGGCGUUUUACUUGGUGGAGCUUUGAAACUCAACAGAGCAUGGCCUGUCUGAUCAUCUCAAGACAAACCUCUGCGAAAGAAUCCCAUCAGGGUAGCAGGCCUGGGGAGACAGGCGCAGAGGUUCUGGAUACAUUCUGGCUGCUGCAGAGUGCUGAGAAGGGCUCCCUGCAAACUUCCAAGCUCCUCUCAGGGCUGGGCAGCCAGGAAGCAGUUCCUGUGCGGAGGUGCCACUGGAGGCUCUGGUCUGCAUCAGCUCCUUUACAGAUCUGUGGGUGGAAGAUUGCCAGCAGCUGAGCUGGGCGUCCAGGGAUAGCCCAGGCCCAUGGGGGUCUAGGGUUAGGUGGGUGAGGAGUCGGGGGAGGCCUAUUGGUCUCUGUGGAGCAGCCAGUGUGGACACUGCAGAGGAAGGAACCUACAGAGAUCUGGGGUCUCCAUCCUCCUUCCUGAUGACAGCAGCCUGAUGAGAACACGGCUUCCACCCUGGGGAGCUCGCCGCCCACUUUGGGAGGCGUGGCCCCUAGCUGGCUGACUUGGGGUACGGGGACCACACCUCUUUCUCCCUGGACACCAGGGCCAGCUCAGUGCCAGACACACAAGGAACGCAAUAUUUGCCAAUGAACAAGUUCCAUUUUUCCUUUUCCUAUGCCUCAGUUUCCCCAGAGAUGGUGUCCUGAACUGGGGAGAGCCUGGCUGUAGUGCGUGUUACUGCUUGGAAAGCUUCCGAUGGCCGUGACUGUGCUAAGACCACUGACAUUAGCCUGAGACACCUCGCUGGUUGUGCGCUUGCAGGGCCAGGAUAACACUGGGACUGUAAAGACUGUUUUGUCCCAUUUGUUCAUUUUUAUGGUGGAGUAACAGACCAGAGGGAAUCAACGACUUGCUCCAUGCCACGCGGCGAGGCAGUGGGAGAGCCAGGGAUAGUGUUCUUCUAGGACCUGAACUGUCGGAGGACAGCCUCCUUCAUGUCAAGGAAUCCCGACCUCCUAGCAACCCACAGGACAACCACAGGAAAGGUCCUCCAACCUCGCACGGGGCCCCCCGGGAGGCCCA